This 500-nucleotide ribosomal RNA is filed under the name uncultured bacterium. Its description in RNAcentral is "partial 16S ribosomal RNA". It matches the Rfam family "Bacterial small subunit ribosomal RNA", at positions 30 to 523 of the family's 1533-position model. The record is from RNAcentral.
AUUGAACGCUGGCGGCAUGCCUUACACAUGCAAGUCGAACGGUAACGGGUCCUUCGGGAUGCCGACGAGUGGCGAACGGGUGAGUAAUAUAUCGGAACGUGCCCAGUAGUGGGGGAUAACUGCUCGAAAGAGCAGCUAAUACCGCAUACGACCUGCGGGUGAAAGGGGGGGAUCGCAAGACCUCUCGCUAUUUGAGCGGCCGAUAUCAGAUUAGCUAUUUGGUGGGGUAAAGGCCUACCAAGGCAACGAUCUGUAGUUGGUCUGAGAGGACGACCAGCCACACUGGGACUGAGACACGGCCCAGACUCCUACGGGAGGCAGCAGUGGGGAAUUUUGGACAAUGGGCGCAAGCCUGAUCCAGCAAUGCCGCGUGCAGGAAGAAGGCCUUCGGGUUGUAAACUGCUUUUGUCAGGGAAGAAAUCUUCUGGGCUAAUACCCCGGGAGGAUGACGGUACCUGAAGAAUAAGCACCGGCUAACUACGUGCCAGCCGCCGCCGUAA